RNAcentral lists this transfer RNA (72 nucleotides) under Basiliscus vittatus (brown basilisk). Its description in RNAcentral is "tRNA-Thr". It matches the Rfam family "tRNA". From Rfam's summary of the family: Transfer RNA (tRNA) molecules are approximately 80 nucleotides in length. Their secondary structure includes four short double-helical elements and three loops (D, anti-codon, and T loops). The record is from RNAcentral. Lineage: Eukaryota; Metazoa; Chordata; Lepidosauria; Squamata; Corytophanidae.
GCCUUAGUAGCUUAACCCUUCAAAGCAUUGGUCUUGUAAACCAAAGACGGGGCCCAGAAACCCCCUAAGACA